CCAGCACCCCGAGUGGUCGGGACGUUUAUUGGGCCUAAAGCAUCCGUAGCCGGUUCUACGAGUCUUCCGUUAAAUCCAACUGCUUAACAGGUGGGCUGCGGAAGAUACUAUAGAGCUAGGAGGCGGGAGAGGCAAGCGGUACUCGAUGGGUAGGGGUAAAAUCCGUUGAUCCAUUGAAGACCACCAGUGGCGAAGGCGGCUUGCCAGAACGCGCUCGACGGUGAGGGAUGAAAGCUGGGGGAGCAAACCGG
RNAcentral lists this ribosomal RNA (251 nucleotides) under uncultured bacterium. Its description in RNAcentral is "partial 16S ribosomal RNA". It matches the Rfam family "Archaeal small subunit ribosomal RNA", at positions 476 to 727 of the family's 1478-position model. The record is from RNAcentral.